CGUUAAAGUCAUAGCUGGAGGUUUACUGUGUGCAUUUAUCUGUUUAAUUGGAGUUUGUGGUGCAGUCAGCGUUUAAAAUGGCCUCUGCAGGAGGCGGUAAGGCGGAAGGCGAGAAGGAGUGCGGCUCUGACUGUUAGACCUCUUCCUGUGGUUACGUCACGUGGCUGUGGAGGCUUCAAAAGGAGACGACUUCUUCUUCGUCUUCAGCCACAUCUUGGACUCACAGAAGGCACCUGCCACGCUGCUGGAGAGAAAAAAAUACUUACUGAAAAAAUUGGGGCGGAAAAAACCUCCAAAAACAAAAAGCAGGCACGGCUCUUGUUUUAGGUACAGUAUGAUGGACUACAUGGAUUUUGUUUUUAUUUGUUUCGUUAGAAUUAUUAACAACAACUUCUUAACAAAUGAUCAAAGUGUUUUGUUGCUGUUAAACUGUGAAACUUAAACUUCCUUUAGUGCUUUAAGUUCUGGUAUUAUGUAUUUUCUUCAUUUAAUUGUGGUCCAGUUUGCAUCUUUUCAAGGUUUAAUUUUCAGAAUUUGUGUCAGAGGUGACGUAACGACUUUUCUCCUUUUUGUGUUUAAUGUAGAUGAAAUUGACGAGUUGUAAUUUUAUUUUGAAUUUCUUAUUUGAAAUGACCUGUGAAGCAGAUGUUCCUCAAACAGAAAAGCUUACUCAUGCUGAAUCAAAAUGGCGCCCAUAAGAUAGCGCUUCAGCCUACUUUUGCCUCAGACUUACAGGGUGGGUGCGGUACUUUGCUAAUUUUUGUUUUGUACCGAAAUGUUAAAAGGCCUCAUGUCAACUGGAGUAAAGCAUCUGAGAAAUAUGCAAAAAUGUAAACUCAAAUCAGGAAGUGUCCUUUUUCUGGUGUGAGGACUUAAGGCGGCUGCUGGAUGCACAGUGCAGUCAUCCAUAAAGUAGAAAGCACUACUAAACUCCUCGCCACAGUGUAGUGUUUCCUACUUUAUGGAUGAGUGUACUGUUGUCUACAGGGAGAAGACGUGCGACGAAAGUAAAAAAAAAAAAGAAAAGAGGAACCUGCUUGGUCUCACGUGGCUGCCCAUUGCCCAAAGUGUUGCUUCAUUCAGUUCACAUGGGCCAUGCGCGGCACAGAGCAAAGCUUGCAACUCUCCCAAACUGUCUGAAAAGCAUAAUAUCAUCUGCAUACAAUGUGAUUCUUUAUAAUGAACAAUAAAGUUUGAAAAAUAAAAGUG
Thalassophryne amazonica is the source of this 1209-nucleotide long non-coding RNA. RefSeq lists it as uncharacterized. The transcript has 2 exons. The record is from RefSeq and is a predicted model, not a curated record. Lineage: Eukaryota; Metazoa; Chordata; Actinopteri; Batrachoidiformes; Batrachoididae.